GCAUUUUGGGGGCUGUUUCGGCUUUUGGUUGCUUGCUUGGCCUUUGCGCUUGGCGGGUGGCUACUAGUUGGGUGGUCUUCGGGAAUGUCGACCGUAAAGGUGCAUGAGUGGUGUUUGGUUUGUUACGGGUGGUUGGAUGUCUGCCUUGUGCAGCAACUUCCUCGCGUGCAUACCUCUUCAGUUAUGCGGCAAGGCUUGUUUGGUCUUGAGCAUCUUUGUGGGUUUCCUGUGUUGCAUACCUAAUCGAUGGCAUUGUAUGGUUCGAUAGACGUCCCUUUUCAUCAUGCGUCGCUCGUGCGACGUGGGAUGAACCUCGAAGCGGUCUUCGUGAUCCACCUUGUCGGUGCCUUUGCAUCGAUGAUGUGGCCCAUGAAGCAUUGCUUGGUCUCUUGUGUACGGAACCUGAUUUGGGCAUGGGUCUUGCUUGAUCCUACAUUUGCCCUUGUUAAGCGUUCUCGCUUCUCUAAAACGAUCGUCCGUCGCGUCUUGGCUUGUCCUUGCGUGGUGGGCUACGUCGA
Molecule: unclassified non-coding RNA, 518 nt
Filed under: Cousinia microcarpa
Lineage: Eukaryota; Viridiplantae; Streptophyta; Magnoliopsida; Asterales; Asteraceae
Description: partial external transcribed spacer
Source: RNAcentral